This 928-nucleotide long non-coding RNA is filed under the name Phaseolus vulgaris (common bean). RNAcentral describes it as "long non-coding RNA (PVUL_LNC005310)". The record is from RNAcentral. Lineage: Eukaryota; Viridiplantae; Streptophyta; Magnoliopsida; Fabales; Fabaceae.
CUUUUCUCUCUCUCUCUCUCUCUCUCUCUCUCUCUCUCUCUCUCUCUCUCUCUCUCUCUCUCUCUCUCUCUCUCUCUCUCUCUCUCUCUCUCUCUUUCUAUAUACAUGUGUGUGUGUGUGUGAGCUCACAAUGAAGAAGAAAGGGUCAACUUCUCAUUGAGAAAAAAAGGAACUCCUCACUAAAAGAAAACUCUGAUUGGUUUAUUUAAUUUGUGCGUAGCUAAUAAUGGAAUCAAUACUAGUGGCUAGUGAAAUAGAUAGGUUGACACUGUAAAUUUCAAGUGUUCUCUGAUGCUGGUCUUUUCUUCAUCUCUUCUCUGGCCUUCAAUCUGGAGUAGGCUUUUAUUUCAAUAAGAACUAAAGGGAGUUAACGGUAUGGUAUGGAUCUUCAGCUAAACUUUCUUGUAUUGAGCUCAUGACGUAAGAAAUAUUAUCGACAACAGUGGUGCGGGAUUGAUUGUAUUUUGGUGUAUGUGGUGGCAAGUAGCCUCUUGAUGUCCCAUGAAAGAUAUAUUACCUGAUGAAAUUCUGUCUUCAAAGGAAAUUGUUUGAUUUGUGAGAAUGUAUAUAUGUGAACUACUCAAAUUGUCCUGUAGCCCAUGUUUGACUGGAAGUUGGAUGAUUUUGUUUGUGGAGGUUUCUUUUGGUCUUUCUUUUGCCUUAUCUGUACUUUAUCUUCUUCUUUUUUGGUACAUUGGAGGUAACCUGGGUAGAGGAAUGAAUCUGGGUCUUUUUGUUAGAGCUUGAUGUUUCUUAUGGUGCAUUUUUUCAUUGGCCUGGUGAAGGACUGAACCUCCAACAACGUCAUUACAUUUGAAUCUUCAAGACUAGGGCCCAUUCCAUUCGGGCUUAUCAGCUCGUAGACAAGGACUUCUCUAGUCUAUCAGUUAUAUUCAUGUUGAUUACUGAAAUACUAAAUUCUCCCCAG